Molecule: unclassified non-coding RNA, 496 nt
Filed under: Hevea brasiliensis (rubber tree)
Lineage: Eukaryota; Viridiplantae; Streptophyta; Magnoliopsida; Malpighiales; Euphorbiaceae
Source: RNAcentral
AUUUUACCUUUAAACUUCUAUUUGGCCCAUUCCAGCAGUGGUCGCCGUUUGUAAAUUGCAUAGUUCUGUAGGAAUGGGCCAAAUAGAAGCUUAAAGGUAAAAUUAAGGUGUGGUUUGAAAAAUGAGGUAACUGAUAUAGAUGAACCGAGCCGCUGCGAAUAUUUAGCAUUUUUCUCUACACCAGCACUCUGUCUGGAAGAAAAACUGAAGGAACUACAAGAUAAACUAGAUAUGAUGAAUAAGGAGCAACCACAAGACCAUGAUGAACUGUGACCUCUCUGGUUAGGCCUGGCUUGGGAACUGUGACCAUGAUGAACUGUGAUCUCGACUAAUUCCACAGGAUACUUGCACCUCAGGGGACGCAAAAAUGGGCAAAGUGAUCCAUUGAUAUAUUUUCUCAAGAACAGUAUCAACAUUUUUGAAGUCAUACCCCAUUUAUAUUUUUGCGAUGUUGUUGCCAAUCAUAUCAUAUUAUACUAAAAGUGGAUAGCUCCAG